GACGUAGGGCGCAAGCGUUGUCCGGAUUUAUUGGGCGUAAAGAGCUCGUAGGCGGCUCGUUGCGUCGGCUGUGAAAACCCACGGCUUAACCGUGGGCCUGCAGCCGAUACGGGCGAGCUAGAGUUCGGUAGGGGAGACUGGAAUUCCUGGUGUAGCGGUGAAAUGCGCAGAUAUCAGGAGGAACACCCGUAGCGAAGGCGGCACUCUGGGCCGAUACUGACGCUGAGGAGCGAAAGCGUGGGGAGCGAACAGG
This 253-nucleotide ribosomal RNA is filed under the name uncultured bacterium. Its description in RNAcentral is "partial 16S ribosomal RNA". It matches the Rfam family "Bacterial small subunit ribosomal RNA", at positions 524 to 776 of the family's 1533-position model. The record is from RNAcentral.